UAUANAAGUCGAAAAAAAUCAGCUUCUAGAAAACUUACUGAUGAGCCUCGAAAAGGAAAUGAGAGAAAGAAAAGAUAAAUCUUGUGUGGUUAUAAGGUCCAGUUAGUGAGAAGCUCCGACAACAUUGCUCCAAGAAGACUGAAUAAAGCACCAGAGGUACCUACAGAGAUGCUGUUUCGAAUGAAGAGAGUUCUCAGCGAACAACGGAGAAAGAUGAGAAACAACAUAACGAAUCAGCCUAUGGAAAUGGGAAUAAAACAUUCAUAUAUAUAUAGAAGCAAGGUAUGGAAAACCGAAUAGCGAAAAUAAAUAUAUUUUGCUCAGACUCCCCCGACCAUUGAACAUUAUUAGAUUGGUGCCGAAACCUGCCCACUCAAUACUGGAGACUGAGCUAGAACCGACAUGUAUACUGAAAGCAUUCUUAGCACAAAUAAAAGCAACUGGUUACCUACAAAAAAGGCCGUCCAAAGUGCCCCUACCACCAGUGAAGAAGUAGGCCAUCCAAAGUGCCCCUAUCACCAGUGAAGAAGUAGGCCAUCCAAAGUGCCCCUAUCACCAACCAAGAAGGCUCGGCCCAUUCUCAAUUAUCGCAAAUAUCUCACAUUCAAGGGGAAGGUCAUCAUAGCAUGGGACAAAAGAAGUGAAGAGAAACUCAGGGAAAAUAGGAGGACUGGACUAAAAGCAAGGAAAGCAAAGUACCCCAAAAGCAACAAAACAUUAUCACAAACCACGCAGAUUUGAAUUCAACAUAUGCUGGAGCAAAUCAAAACAUGUCGCAUUCAGAAUUCAACAUAUUGAAUUCUGAAUCACCUAGUCGAAAUCUGAAUUCAAUAUGCUGAAUUUAACAUAUUGCCUAGCUGAAUUGAGCUGAAUUCAGAAUUCUCGAUUGAAUUUCGAAUUGUGUUGAAGAAUUCUGUAUCCCACCCAAUUGCCAAGCUUAUAUCGGAGACCAUCAACUGAACAAUCUCAACAGUCAGAUGUUCUAUUGUGCACGAUAGUAACCUGAAGCAUAAAAGAUAGAACUUAAAGUCAUUUAAUUUGACUUUUUUCGAAUGAAGGCUAGGAGCAUACUGAGAUUCAAUCAUUUCACGUAGUAAAUUUCACCAAUAGGCUCCUAGAAUUCAGAUUUCUGAAUUCUGAGAGGUUAGAAUUCUAAAUAAAAGUUUAAAAUUCAGGAAAAGAACCCUGAAUUUUUUUUUGGAAUGAAGGCUAGGAGCAUACCGAGAUUCAAUCGUUUCAUAUACUAAAUUUCACCAAUAGGCUUCUAGAAUUCAGAUUUCUGAAUUCUGAGAGGUUAGAAUUCUAAAUAAAAGGUUAGAAUUUAGGAAAAGAAUCCUGAAAUAUGCACCAACGAACGACAACAAAUCGAGAACUGGAGCAUAAAAUUGAUGCUUGCAAGAAACAUGAGGAACUCCAUAAUAAAUCAGCAACCAGAUAGGUUUUUGAGAAAUCAAUGACCAAAAAAAAGCUUUUUGGGGAAAUGCCAACAGCCUCAAAAAGAUGAAACUAAUGUCCGCAAAGAAGAGAAGAGUGGGGGCAGGGUAAAAAAAAGAAGAGGACUGUGAAAACACAUUAAAUCAAUCAAAAUAAGCUCUGAGUGAACAACGAAAUCCGAAAAAACUGAAGUAUAAAUCGAUGUUUGCAAGGAAAAUGCGAAAUCCAUAAUAAAUUAGCCUAUGGAAAUGGGAAUAAAGCAUUCACAUCUGUAUAUAUAUAUAUAUAUAUAUAUAUAUAUAUAUAUGCCGAAGCAAGGUAAACAAAACCGGAUCGCAAAAAUAAGUAAUCUAUAGAAACAAAGAAAUAAAUAGCACACAAAAAAAUUACAUAAAGUUCCUUCUGCAUGACUUCCAAAGAGACUCGGAUAGAUGGCCGUUUAACAUACAGCCUGUAUUUUCUUCAGGAAUCAGCGUGAGAAGUAUGCCCCAAAAAUUUUGGUGAUGGAAAAAGAAGGGAGGGGGAUCAGUUUAAGAAAAGUAUAGACAACUAAUAGUAAAGUAAAGAGGAUGAAU
This 2009-nucleotide long non-coding RNA is filed under the name Ananas comosus (pineapple). RNAcentral describes it as "long non-coding RNA (ACOM_LNC034195)". Lineage: Eukaryota; Viridiplantae; Streptophyta; Magnoliopsida; Poales; Bromeliaceae. The record is from RNAcentral.